GACGUAGGGUGCGAGCGUUGUCCGGAUUUAUUGGGCGUAAAGAGCUCGUAGGCGGCUCGUCGCGUCAGCUGUGAAAACCCGCGGCUUAACCGUGGGCUUGCAGCUGAUACGGGCGGGCUAGAGUUCGGUAGGGGAGACUGGAAUUCCUGGUGUAGCGGUGAAAUGCGCAGAUAUCAGGAGGAACACCGAUGGCGAAGGCAGAUCUCUGGGCCGUAACUGACGCUGAGGAGCGAAAGCAUGGGGAGCGAACAGG
This 253-nucleotide ribosomal RNA is filed under the name uncultured bacterium. RNAcentral's name for it is "partial 16S ribosomal RNA". It matches the Rfam family "Bacterial small subunit ribosomal RNA", at positions 524 to 776 of the family's 1533-position model. The record is from RNAcentral.